Molecule: ribosomal RNA, 626 nt
Filed under: Salmonella enterica subsp. enterica
Lineage: Bacteria; Pseudomonadati; Pseudomonadota; Gammaproteobacteria; Enterobacterales; Enterobacteriaceae
Description: partial 23S ribosomal RNA
Rfam family: Bacterial large subunit ribosomal RNA
Source: RNAcentral
UACAAGCAGUGGGAGCACAGGUUUACCUGUGUGACUGCGUACCUUUUGUAUAAUGGGUCAGCGACUUAUAUUCUGUAGCAAGGUUAACCGUAUAGGGGAGCCGGAGGGAAACCGAGUCUUAACCGGGCGUUAAGUUGCAGGGUAUAGACCCGAAACCCGGUGAUCUAGCCAUGGGCAGGUUGAAGGUUGGGUAACACUAACUGGAGGACCGAACCGACUAAUGUUGAAAAAUUAGCGGAUGACCUGUGGCUGGGGGUGAAAGGCCAAUCAAACCGGGAGAUAGCUGGUUCUCCCCGAAAGCUAUUUAGGUAGCGCCUCGUGAAUUCAUCUCCGGGGGUAGAGCACUGUUUCGGCUAGGGGGCCAUCCCGGCUUACCAACCCGAUGCAAACUGCGAAUACCGGAGAAUGUUAUCACGGGAGACACACGGCGGGUGCUAACGUCCGUCGUGAAGAGGGAAACAACCCAGACCGCCAGCUAAGGUCCCAAAGUCAUGGUUAAGUGGGAAACGAUGUGGGAAGGCCCAGACAGCCAGGAUGUUGGCUUAGAAGCAGCCAUCAUUUAAAGAAAGCGUAAUAGCUCACUGGUCGAGUCGGCCUGCGCGGAAGAUGUAACGGGGCUAAACCAU